Molecule: microRNA precursor, 67 nt
Filed under: Daphnia pulex (common water flea)
Lineage: Eukaryota; Metazoa; Arthropoda; Branchiopoda; Diplostraca; Daphniidae
Description: Dpu-Mir-317_pre stem-loop
Source: RNAcentral
GGGGAACCACCCUGCGUUCGCCUGUUGUUGGAAUUUUCCAGGUGAACACAGCUGGUGGUAUCUCAGU